Molecule: ribosomal RNA, 533 nt
Filed under: uncultured bacterium
Lineage: Bacteria
Description: bacterial SSU rRNA
Rfam family: Bacterial small subunit ribosomal RNA
Source: RNAcentral
AAUAGAUACCCAGGUAGUCCACGCCGUAAACGUUGGGCGCUAGAUGUGGGGACCUUUCCACGGUUUCCGUGUCGUAGCUAACGCAUUAAGCGCCCCGCCUGGGGAGUACGGCCGCAAGGCUAAAACUCAAAGGAAUUGACGGGGGCCCGCACAAGCGGCGGAGCAUGCGGAUUAAUUCGAUGCAACGCGAAGAACCUUACCAAGGCUUGACAUAACCGAGAACACCGUAGAAAUACGGGACUCUUUGGACACUCGGUUACAGGUGGUGCAUGGUUGUCGUCAGCUCGUGUCGUGAGAUGUUGGGUUAAGUCCCGCAACGAGCGCAACCCUCGUCGCAUGUUGCCAGCACGUCAUGGUGGGAACUCAUGUGAGACUGCCGGGGUCAACUCGGAGGAAGUGGGGAUGACGUCAAAUCGAUCAUGCCCCUUAUGUCUUGGGCUUCACGCAUGCUACAAUGGCCGGUACAAAGGGCUGCGAUGUCGUAAGGCGGAGCGAAUCCCAAAAAGCCGGUCUCAGUUCGGAUUGAGGUCUGC